GUUCAAGAGGGUAUGAGAAAAAUCCCCAGUUAAGUGUUGUUUUAAAAUGUUCUAAUGAAGACAAGCAAUGAUAAGUUAUGGGUCUUAAAAUACACUUUUUCUACCGCAGCUUGACUCAACAUGUGCUCAUAUUAAAUGAUGGAGAUAAUAUUUGUAAUGCUUGGCUCUGGCUGUGUCUCUGAAAAUGCUUUCGCUAUGAAGCACAAACAAACAGCAACACACACAUGGCACAUUUGAAGCAUUAGACUAGCAUCUGCCUUUUAUAACCUCUCUUGUUAUAAUUCAUCUCAGACCACCACUGGCAUAGUGCAUGAUGAUGCCAGUUAAGAUGAGGUGUAGGAUAUAUGAUUCCAGGUGGGAUUGGGUGUAGGAUGUAUGAUUCCAGGUAGAAUUGGGUGUAGGGUAUAUGAUUCCAGGUAGGAUUUGGGUGCAGUAUAUAUGAUUCCAGGUAGUAUUGGGUGUAGGAUAUAUGAUUCCAGGUAGAAUUGGGUGUAGUAUGUAUGAUUCCAGGUAGGAUUGGGUGUAGGGUAUAUGAUUCCAGGUAGGAUUGGGUGUAGGAUAUAUGAUUCCAGGUAGAAUUGGGUGUAGGAUGUAUGAUUCCAGGUAGGAUUGGGUGUAGGGUAUAUGAUUCCAGGUAGGAUUGGGUGUAGGGUAUAUGAUUCCAGGUAGGAUUGGGUGUAGGGUAUAUGAUUCCAGGUAGGAUUGGGUGUAGGGUAUAUGAUUCCAGGUAGGAUUGGGUGUAGGAUGUAGGAUUGGGUGUAGGAUGUAUGAUUCCAGGUAGGAUUGGGUGUAGGAUAUAUGAUUCCAGGUAGGAUUGGCUGUAGGGUAUAUGAUUCCAGUUAGGAUUGGGUGUAGGAUAUAUGAUUCCAGGUAGAAUUGGGUGUAGGAUGUAUGAUUCCAGGUAGAAUUGGGUGUAGGAUAUAUGAUUCCAGGUAGGAUUGUGUGCAGUAUAUAUGAUUCCAGGUAGUAUUGGGUGUAGGAUAUAUGAUUCCAGGUAGAAUUGGGUGUAGGGUAUAUGAUUCCAGGUAGGAUUGGGUGUAGGGUAUAUGAUUCCAGGUAGAAUUGGGUGUAGAAUAUAUGAUUCCAGGUAGGAUUGGGUGUAGGAUGUAGGAUUGGGUGUAGGAUAUAUGGAUCCAGGUAGGAUUGGGUGUAGGGUAUAUGAUUCCAGGUAGGAUUGGGUGUAGGAUGUAUGAUUCCAGGUAGGAUUGGGUGUAGGGUAUAUGAUUCCGCUGUUGCUGGAGCUCUCUUUCUCGUUCCUCUCUCUUUCUCUCUCUCGCUCUUUCUCUCUCUUUCUCUCUUUCUCUCUCUAUACUUGUCUUUCUCAGGUUGUGGCGUAGUCAUACUCAUAUGUACUGAUUGUUCUGUGCUCUCUCUGUCCCUCACCAUCUCUCCCUUCCCAUCUCUCCUUCCACAUCUCUCCCUCCCCAUCCCUCUCUCCAUAG
Molecule: long non-coding RNA, 1442 nt
Filed under: Salmo salar (Atlantic salmon)
Lineage: Eukaryota; Metazoa; Chordata; Actinopteri; Salmoniformes; Salmonidae
Description: lncRNA (ENSSSAG00000110631.1, ENSSSAG00000114733.1)
Source: RNAcentral